UGUGUACCUUGUUAGAGUUUGGAGAUUAGGCCACUGAUGGCUGAUGCACUCACUAGUGUAGGUAGUCUGCUGCAUGAGAGGCAAGUUUUCCCUAAUAUCACAAGGGUCUCUGGCCCAAUGAGUGGAGUUUUAUAGUAAUCCUUGAUACAAGU
This is a small nucleolar RNA of Otolemur garnettii (small-eared galago), 152 nucleotides long. The record is from Ensembl. Lineage: Eukaryota; Metazoa; Chordata; Mammalia; Primates; Galagidae.